Rattus norvegicus (Norway rat) is the source of this 593-nucleotide long non-coding RNA. RefSeq lists it as uncharacterized. The record is from RefSeq and is a predicted model, not a curated record. Lineage: Eukaryota; Metazoa; Chordata; Mammalia; Rodentia; Muridae.
GCCUCAUAAAAAGAUGGUUCUGGGUUCUCUCUCUCUCUCUCUCUCUCUCUCUCUCUCUCUCUCUCUCUCUUCUCUCUGGUUCUUUGACCAUGGGACAUUUUCUACCAUUGGAGAGUACCACAAGAAGUAGAAAGGCUCUUGCCAGAUGCAGCCCUUUCCAACUUCUGGGACAUCGUUCAUCACGACUCCCGUUCUGCAGUCUCUAUGGUAAUAUGUUCUGGCUGUAUCAGACGUCGACCACACUACUGACAUUUGAGGUGGUUGGUGAUUUACAGCAUUCCUCCAGGGAUUGGAGUCAUUGAAUCUCCUUUGGGUGAAAGAAGAGAUUCAAGUGGCCUUUGUCAAGUGGCUUCCCCUCGUUUGCAACUUGGCUCACUGAUGAAGCAGGAGAAAGAGUGAACAGAGCAUCGCUUCACUGUGCUGUUGAGACCAGCUCUAUUCUAAAUAGCCCUGACAUGUGUCUUUUCAGUUAUUUGUUUCCUCAUUAAUGGACUCUGUUUCCACACUAGUCCACCAAGGGCUAAGCACUGUGAUGUGGUCAAACAUUUAAGUAUUUAACAGAUGCAUUCCCCCAUUUAAAAUGUUUUAAUUAA